ACUUUAAUUGAAGAGUUUGAUCAUGGCUCAGAUUGAACGCUGGCGGCAGGCCUAACACAUGCAAGUCGAGCGGAAACGACAACAUUGACCCUUCGGGUGAUUUGUUGGGCGUCGAGCGGCGGAC
RNAcentral lists this ribosomal RNA (124 nucleotides) under Vibrio breoganii. RNAcentral's name for it is "partial 16S ribosomal RNA". It matches the Rfam family "Bacterial small subunit ribosomal RNA", at positions 1 to 103 of the family's 1533-position model. Lineage: Bacteria; Pseudomonadati; Pseudomonadota; Gammaproteobacteria; Vibrionales; Vibrionaceae. The record is from RNAcentral.